This 828-nucleotide ribosomal RNA is filed under the name uncultured bacterium. RNAcentral describes it as "bacterial SSU rRNA". It matches the Rfam family "Bacterial small subunit ribosomal RNA", at positions 71 to 871 of the family's 1533-position model. The record is from RNAcentral.
UCGGAGUGCUUGCACUCUGUGAAACAAGAUACAGGCUAGCGGCGGACGGGUGAGUAACACGUGGGUAACCUGCCCAAGAGAUCGGGAUAACACCUGGAAACAGAUGCUAAUACCGGAUAACAACAGAUGAUGCCUAUCAACUGUUUAAAAGAUGGUUCUGCUAUCACUCUUGGAUGGACCUGCGGUGCAUUAGCUAGUUGGUAGGGUAACGGCCUACCAAGGCGAUGAUGCAUAGCCGAGUUGAGAGACUGAUCGGCCACAUUGGGACUGAGACACGGCCCAAACUCCUACGGGAGGCAGCAGUAGGGAAUCUUCCACAAUGGACGCAAGUCUGAUGGAGCAACGCCGCGUGAGUGAAGAAGGGCUUCGGCUCGUAAAGCUCUGUUGUUGGUGAAGAAGGACAGGGGUAGUAACUGACCUUUGUUUGACGGUAAUCAAUUAGAAAGUCACGGCUAACUACGUGCCAGCAGCCGCGGUAAUACGUAGGUGGCAAGCGUUGUCCGGAUUUAUUGGGCGUAAAGCGAGUGCAGGCGGCUCGAUAAGUCUGAUGUGAAAGCCUUCGGCUCAACCGGAGAAUUGCAUCAGAAACUGUCGAGCUUGAGUACAGAAGAGGAGAGUGGAACUCCAUGUGUAGCGGUGAAAUGCGUAGAUAUAUGGAAGAACACCGGUGGCGAAGGCGGCUCUCUGGUCUGUUACUGACGCUGAGGCUCGAAAGCAUGGGUAGCGAACAGGAUUAGAUACCCUGGUAGUCCAUGCCGUANACGAUGAGUGCUAAGUGUUGGGAGGUUUCCGCCUCUCAGUGCUGCAGCUAACGCAUUAAGCACUCCG